Molecule: transfer RNA, 69 nt
Filed under: Heterocephalus glaber (naked mole-rat)
Lineage: Eukaryota; Metazoa; Chordata; Mammalia; Rodentia; Bathyergidae
Rfam family: tRNA
About the family: Transfer RNA (tRNA) molecules are approximately 80 nucleotides in length. Their secondary structure includes four short double-helical elements and three loops (D, anti-codon, and T loops).
Source: Rfam by way of RNAcentral
UGGGCUGUAACUCAAUGGUAAAGCAUUUGCCUAGUAUGCAGAAGACCAUGGGUUCAAUCCCCAGCCCCA